RNAcentral lists this ribosomal RNA (523 nucleotides) under Canthigaster amboinensis (spider-eye puffer). Its description in RNAcentral is "partial 16S ribosomal RNA". It matches the Rfam family "Bacterial large subunit ribosomal RNA", at positions 1849 to 2575 of the family's 2925-position model. The record is from RNAcentral. Lineage: Eukaryota; Metazoa; Chordata; Actinopteri; Tetraodontiformes; Tetraodontidae.
GAGGUCCCGCCUGCCCUGUGACUAUAUGUUUAACGGCCGCGGUAUUUUGACCGUGCAAAGGUAGCGCAAUCACUUGUCCUUUAAAUGGGGACCUGUAUGAAUGGCACAACGAGGGCUUAGCUGUCUCCUCUUUCAAGUCAAUGAAAUUGAUCUUCCCGUGCAGAAGCAGGAAUAAUAACAUAAGACGAGAAGACCCUAUGGAGCUUUAGACACAAAAUAGACCACGUUAAACACCCUCAAAUAAAAGAACAAACUAAAUGGACCCUGUUCAAAUGUCUUUGGUUGGGGCGACCACGGGGUAACAAAAAACCCCCAUGUGGAAUAAAACACCAUUUUAAAACCAAGAGCCACUGCUCUAAUAAACAGAACAUCUGACCAAUGAGAUCCGGCCUAGCCGAUCAACGAACCGAGUUACCCUAGGGAUAACAGCGCAAUCCUCUUUUAGAGUCCAUAUCGACAAGAGGGUUUACGACCUCGAUGUUGGAUCAGGACAUCCUAAUGGUGCAGCCGCUAUUAAGGUUCG